AGUGAACGCUGGCGGUAGGCCUAACACAUGCAAGUCGAACGGCGGCACAGUAAGAGCUUGCUCUUACGGGUGGCGAGUGGCGGACGGGUGAGGAAUACAUCGGAAUCUACUUUUUCGUGGGGGAUAACGUAGGGAAACUUACGCUAAUACCGCAUACGACCUACGGGUGAAAGCAGGGGAUCUUCGGACCUUGCGCGAUUGAAUGAGCCGAUGUCGGAUUAGCUAGUUGGCGGGGUAAAGGCCCACCAAGGCGACGAUCCGUAGCUGGUCUGAGAGGAUGAUAAGCCACACUGGAACUGAGACCCGGUCCAGACUCCUACGGGAGGCAGCAGUGGGGAAUAUUGGACAAUGGGCGCAAGCCUGAUCCAGCCAUACCGCGUGGGUGAAGAAGGCCUUCGGGUUGUAAAGCCCUUUUGUUGGGAAAGAAAAGCAGCAGGUUAAUACCCCGCUGUUCUGACGGUACCCAAAGAAUAAGCACCGGCUAACUUCGUG
RNAcentral lists this ribosomal RNA (492 nucleotides) under uncultured bacterium. RNAcentral describes it as "partial 16S ribosomal RNA". It matches the Rfam family "Bacterial small subunit ribosomal RNA", at positions 29 to 507 of the family's 1533-position model. The record is from RNAcentral.